GUUGGACACACAGAGGAGGGAACGAUGGUGAACAUGUAGAGUUGGACACAGAGAGGAGGGAACGAUGGUGAACAUGUACAGUUGGACACACAGAGGAGGGAACGAUGGUGAACAUGUAGAGUUGGACACACAGAGGAGGGAACGAUGGUGAACAUGAAGGGUCGGACUAAGAGCCUCUACUCCACUGUGCCCAGUGGAAGAAAUUAUAAUCAUGUGCAACAAUAAUAUGCAAAAACAUCAAAUAAUCACCAAAUGUUCAGAGGCACACCUUUCAUGGUCUCGUGGUCGGAUGAGUCAACACUCUCAAAGCAAUAGUCUAGAAAUAGUCUACUUGCCAACUUACAUGUCUAUUUAGCAUAAAAUAACAUUUAAAUGCUGCACACAUUCUGAUGCCAGUUUUUAACACACAGCAAAUGAAAUGCCUCUAUAGAGACGUCUGCUAAAUACAUCACGUGUCCAUGGGCCUGCAGCGAUGGUGUGUUUAAAUGUGAUCCUGCCAUUGUGUCCCCUGGCCCUGCUCCUUAAGGCCUCCACCCUGGCCUCCACAGAAGCAAUAUUCAGUGUGCAUUUGUAAAGUAUGAACCCUCCAUUGUUCAUCCUAACUAGUAUCAUUCCUUUACACUGAUACCCCAUCACUCUGGUGCUCUCCCGGGAGCUCUCUCUCUCUCUCUCUCUCUCUCUCUCUCUCUCUCUCUCUCUCUCUCUCUUUCUGUCGCUCUCUCGCUCCAUCGUGCUUUCUGUUUUCAUCCUUCUCUUCCUCCUUAGGAGGAACAAAGCGUGACUUUAGCCCUGUCUUGAUCCAGCGCGUUUUUAAGCAGAUAGUUCAGCCAGGAUUAAUAUUCUGGGGCACUUUGAUGUCAAAGAGCUACGACGUCGC
Long non-coding RNA from Clupea harengus (Atlantic herring), 877 nucleotides. The record is from Ensembl. Lineage: Eukaryota; Metazoa; Chordata; Actinopteri; Clupeiformes; Clupeidae.